GUGCAGUGCCCUCUUCAGCAGCCUCUUCUUCCAAACUAGGAGGAGCGAUGCUACUCAAGUCCAAAUUUAGAUAUAACUUUUCAACCGCAUCUCGACCGUCCUCAUAUCCGACACAGUAGGAGGUGAAUCCGCCCUUGAGAAUCUCCUUCUUGAAUUCUUUCGAAUACUUGAAGUUCUCGAUAGCCAGACUCAAGGCAUCUCUUGCCGACUU
This 211-nucleotide long non-coding RNA is filed under the name Elaeis guineensis (African oil palm). RNAcentral's name for it is "long non-coding RNA (EGUI_LNC009283)". Lineage: Eukaryota; Viridiplantae; Streptophyta; Magnoliopsida; Arecales; Arecaceae. The record is from RNAcentral.